UACGUAGGGGCCGAGCGUUGUUCGGAAUCACUGGGCGUAAAGGGCGUGUAGGCGGUCAGGUAAGUGGGAUGUGAAAUGCCCCGGCUCACCCGGGGACCGGCAUCCCAUACUGCUUGGCUUGAGUACGGGAGAGGAUGUGGGAAUUCCUGGUGUAGCGGUGAAAUGCGUAGAUAUCAGGAGGAACACCGGUGGCGAAGGCGCACAUCUGGCCCGAUACUGACGCUGAGGCGCGAAAGCUAGGGGAGCAAACGGG
This 253-nucleotide ribosomal RNA is filed under the name uncultured bacterium. Its description in RNAcentral is "partial 16S ribosomal RNA". It matches the Rfam family "Bacterial small subunit ribosomal RNA", at positions 524 to 776 of the family's 1533-position model. The record is from RNAcentral.